UGGGGAAUAUUGCACAAUGGGCGCAAGCCUGAUGCAGCCAUGCCGCGUGUGUGAAGAAGGCCUUCGGGUUGUAAAGCACUUUCAGCGGGGAGGAAGGCGGUGAGGUUAAUAACCUCAUCGAUUGACGUUCCCCGCAGAAGAAGCACCGGCUAACCCCGUGCCAGCAGCCGCGGUAAUACGGACGGUGCAAGCGUUAAUCGGAAUUACUGGGCGUAAAGCGCACGCAGGCGGUCGGUCAAGUCGGAUGUGAAAUCCCCGGGCUCAACCUGGGAACUGCAUUCGAAACUGGCAGGCUAGAGUCUUGUAGAGGGGGGUAGAAUUCCAGGUGUAGCGGUGAAAUGCGUAGAGAUCUGGAGGAAUACCGGUGGCGAAGGCGGCCCCCUGGACAAAGACUGACGCUCAGGUGCGAAAGCGUGGGGAGCAAACAGG
RNAcentral lists this ribosomal RNA (429 nucleotides) under Chloroflexota bacterium. RNAcentral describes it as "Chloroflexi bacterium partial 16S ribosomal RNA". It matches the Rfam family "Bacterial small subunit ribosomal RNA", at positions 355 to 776 of the family's 1533-position model. The record is from RNAcentral. Lineage: Bacteria; Bacillati; Chloroflexota.